Molecule: long non-coding RNA, 800 nt
Filed under: Hordeum vulgare
Lineage: Eukaryota; Viridiplantae; Streptophyta; Magnoliopsida; Poales; Poaceae
Description: long non-coding RNA (HVUL_LNC004247)
Source: RNAcentral
CUCGUGCUGCAGCGCGCUCACAGCCUCCAGCCGCGCGCGGCCGGCGGCGAGGUUCUCCACCUGCGGCACCAUCGCCACCGCCCGGCCGUACGCGCACGGCCACUCGCACUUGUGGAGUGUGACCCGCGUGCUGGAUCGAUGCGUGGCGCUGUCGGCCUCGAGCACUCCGACGCCCUGCGGGAGCAUAUCACCGGAGACAGAAGGAUUCAGUCAAAAACGGCACACCCUAGACUGGAGUAAUCGAGGUAGGGGAUUCCUUCAGUUGAGGGGAGGGUACUCACAGGGUGUUGGCGUGCUGGAUGUUGCACUCGAGCACCUUCAGCGAGUCCCUGAACGACCUCCACGACGCACGCGGUUGCCUCCGCCGCCAUCUCCCCACUCCCGCUCUGUCACCAGAGGUCGCCACCGCCGAAUUAAACAGCACCGCCAGAGCCGAGCAGGGCCAAAUUAGAACCCCACCAUGCACGCGCGCAAACCCUCGACCGCGACGGCAACAGCGCCGCCACAGGUGGAGGCUCUGGAUCUGGGAGGGAGCUCUCCUGGAUCUAGAUCCUGCAGGAGAGGUGGAAAAUGGAAGGGAACGAGGAAUGGGGAGGUCAGUGGAACGGGGAACGGUGGGUGAGGAGGACAGCGAGAUCGACGAUGGGUGGGAGCGGUGGGGAGAAGAAUGGAUCGGGAGGGGGCGGGGACGGGGAGGAGGUUGCGGCGGCGGCGAGGAGAUCGGAACGAGGGAGGAAGGGUGUGAUUUGGGGAUGGGAUCUGAGCUAGGGUUUGGGCUGCGGUGGGGUAUCUUUUUUUUU